AUGCCUCGUCAUCUAAUUAGUGACGCGCAUGAAUGGAUUAACGAGAUCCCUACUGUCCCUAUCUACUAUCUAGCGAAACCACAGCCAAGGGAACGGGCUUGGAAUAAUUAGCGGGGAAAGAAGACCCUGUUGAGCUUGACUCUAGUCUGGCAGUGUAAGGAGACAUAAGAGGUGUAGCAUAAGUGGGAGAUAUAAUUGGUUUCGGCUAAAUAUAUCAAAAAUGAAAUACCACUACUCUUAUUGUUUCCUUACUUACUUGAUAAAAUGGAACGUGUAUCAUUCACUUAGCCAUUAUAUGAAUAUAUUUAUAUAUUUUAUGGUAUUUUGUUUUGAUGCGAGCUUCUUGUUUAAAGUACCAAGAGUUUGUUAUAUACACCAAACAAAUAUCAAUUAAAUUUACUUAUUAUUAAUAAUGAUUUGUUAAAUUAUAAUUGAAUUUGGUAUAACUAUUAUACUUAGGUAUGAUCCAAUUCAAGGACAUUGCCAGGUGGGGAGUUUGACUGGGGCGGUACAUCUCUCAAAUAAUAACGGAGGUGUCCCAAGGCCAGCUCAGUGCGGACAGAAACCACACAUAGAGCAAAAGGGCAAAUGCUGACUUGAUCUCGGUGUUCAGUACAUACAGAGACAGCAAAAGCUCGGCCUAUCGAUCCUUUUGGUUUAAAGAGUUUUUAACAAGAGGUGUCAGAAAAGUUACCACAGGGAUAACUGGCU
RNAcentral lists this ribosomal RNA (711 nucleotides) under Scaptia monticola. Its description in RNAcentral is "eukaryotic LSU rRNA". It matches the Rfam family "Eukaryotic large subunit ribosomal RNA", at positions 2287 to 2835 of the family's 3401-position model. Lineage: Eukaryota; Metazoa; Arthropoda; Insecta; Diptera; Tabanidae. The record is from RNAcentral.